AUUUAAUGGAGCUGCUUUACACUUUUUACACUGUUCAUUCACAAACACUUUAUUUAAUAAAAGUCCCAUCUAGUUUUUAUGAGGAAUGUGAUGUUUUAAUUUCUCUGUGAAUAACUGCAGUCUAAUGUAACAGCUGGAGUUGUAACAUCUGUCCUGAUAUUGAUCAUGAAAUAUUGAUCAGAAUACUUAUGGUCAGCAGUCAUCCCUGAAGUUUUACAUUAAAAUCUUUACUUGUGUUGUGAACUUUGGUAAGAAGCAGAAACGUUAGCGUUGCCAUGGAUACAUGAUUGUUAAAUUCUGUCCAUGUUUCCAUUUUGGGAAAUGCAGUCCAGUUCCAGAAUGUGGAGGAAUUUAGUCUCACAAUCACAGACAACAAAUAUUAUCUGAAAGUCAGGUUAUUGUUGUUUAUCAGCACAAUACAAAAAGUUUAAUGUUAGAAAUAUUCCAGUUAAGACUCUAGAAUAUCAUGAUUUAUGUAAAUUUACCUCAAUAAUAUGAAUGUUCAGGUUAAGAUUGUACAGUGAUGUUUAUUAUGUAAGUUUAGCUGAUUAAAGUUUGACUCUGCUCUAAAAUAUUAUUUAAAUUGACAUCAUUAUUAUAAUAUUUAGGGUCAGACCCUACAGUAUUGAGAUUAAGAAAUCAAAUAUUCUAUAAAAUGUAAAUACACUGAACUCAUUUGGAUAUAUUUAAGUGAGACUCUACAAUAUUAUUUGACACAAAUCUAUCUAAAUCAAAAUUUUAAUAAUUUUCACGCCAAUCAUUUACUGGACUGAUUUAAAUAUUAAAAUCACUCCUUUCUAAUCCUCUGCUGUACGUUCAAACCUGAGGCCUUAAAUAGAAACACACAAGUAUCUGAUUGAAGGAACUUCUGCAGAGUCCUGGUUCCAGAACAUGAUGAUAGAAUUAUAGACAAACUUUAACAAAAGCUGCCUGAGAGUUUACAGGUUUUUAUGUUGGAUUUCUUCAGUAAUUUAAUGAGAGUUAUCAGCAAUAAUCAAGUGUUCAUUUGAUGAACUUCAUUUCCUAAGACAUCCAGAAUUGGAGCUCAUAUCUUUGGCAGCUGUAAAGUUUCUGCUCCUUCAAAGUUCACAACACAAUGAAUGAAUUCCUAAAACACUCUAGAUGCUGGAGAGCGUUUGAUGCUGAAGCAGUGAUCAGUUUUUCUGUUUCUUCUCUGGAGAUGCACAAUGAGGGACGUCUGCAGCGACUGAGAAAGAGUCUCACCACAUCCUGACAUGAGGAAAAAGACUUUACUGAAGACUACAAUGAGGAAAACUAUCAGACAGCAGAUGGCUGCAUUCAAGAGAGGAAGACCAUCAAACAUCCACGUCAGCUGAUGGAGGUCCAAGAGUCUCACCAAACAAACAACCUACAGAGUGAAGACCUCAAAUCUGAUUGGACGGCCUCCUAUUCAGCCACGUGUGAACAAAUGCCUCUAAGUUGAUUUGUUUUCUAAAAUAAAUCUCGUUUGAGUCCUAAUCUAUGCCUGUGUGUUUGCUUCUUUACACCGCUGUUAACAGUUUAGGCUGUUAGAUUGUUCCAGAUAAGACAAGUACAAGAUUCUUCAGAGCCGUUCUACCACGAGCCUGACAGGAAGAACUCCAACAGCUACUGAAUGUUCCUGUGGUUCCCUCAAGGCUACAGGAGGAGCCCUACGAGGACGAGCCGGUCCACCUGAUGGCGGCCAGUCGCUGCGGUUCAAAGCCAACACCGACUACGUGGACUUCUACUGGACCACACGGAGGCCUUCAAACCGGACCAACAAGUUCAGCGACUCCCCGACUCGUGGGUCUGAGGACGCCGCCGAGCCUCGGCCCAGCCGGCCUCCUGUCUGUGGGUGUUUGAGUGCUGAGAGGUUUGUGGAUGCAUGUGAACAUGUCUGUGUUGAAACAGCAGCUUUGGACUCAGUAACGCCGGGAAAAACCAAGAGCUCCUUUAUUUGUGACUUCCAC
Amphiprion ocellaris (clown anemonefish) is the source of this 1952-nucleotide long non-coding RNA. NCBI's taxonomy places the organism in Eukaryota, Metazoa, Chordata, Actinopteri, Pomacentridae. The record is from Ensembl.